UGUGCCAGCAGCCGCGGUAAUACAGAGGGUGCAAGCGUUAAUCGGAAUUACUGGGCGUAAAGCGAGCGUAGGUGGCUUGAUAAGUCAGAUGUGAAAGCCCCGGGCUUAACCUGGGAACGGCAUCUGAUACUGUUAGGCUAGAGUAGGUGAGAGGAAGGUAGAAUUCCAGGUGGUAGCGGUGAAAUGCGUAGAGAUCUGGAGGGAAUACCCGAUGGCGAAGGCAGCCUUCUGGCAUCAUACUGACACUGAGGUUCGAAAGCGUGGGUAGCAAACAGGAUUAGAUACCCUGGUAGUCCACGCCGUAAACGAUGUCUACUAGUCGUUGGGUCCCUUGAGGACUUAGUGACGCAGCUAACGCAAUAAGUAGACCGCCUGGGGAGUACGGCCGCAAGGUUAAAACUCAAAUGAAUUGACGGGGGCCCGCACAAGCGGUGGAGCAUGUGGUUUAAUUCGAUGCAACGCGAAGAACCUUACCUGGUCUUGACAUAUCUAGAAUCCUGCAGAGAUGCGGGAGUGCCUUCGGGAAUUAGAAUACAGGUGCUGCAUGGCUGUCGUCAGCUCGUGUCGUGAGAUGUUGGGUUAAGUCCCGCAACGAGCGCAACCCUUGUCCUUAGUUACCAGCGGUUUGGCCGGGAACUCUAAGGAUACUGCCAGUGACAAACUGGAGGAAGGCGGGGACGACGUCAAGUCAUCAUGGCCCUUACGACCAGGGCUACACACGUGCUACAAUGGUAGGUACAGAGGGCAGCUACACAGCGAUGUGAUGCGAAUCUCAAAAAGCCUAUCGUAGUCCAGAUUGGAGUCUGCAACUCGACUCCAUGAAGUAGGAAUCGCUAGUAAUCGCGGAUCAGAAUGCCGCGGUGAAUACGGUUCCCGGGCCUUGUACACACCGCCCGUCACACCAUGGGAGUUGAUUGCACCAGAAGUGGUUAGCCUAACCUUUUAGGAAGGCGAUCACCACGGUGUGGUUGAUGACUGGGGUGAAGUCGUAACAAGGUAACCGA
This 1004-nucleotide ribosomal RNA is filed under the name uncultured bacterium. RNAcentral's name for it is "bacterial SSU rRNA". It matches the Rfam family "Bacterial small subunit ribosomal RNA", at positions 504 to 1503 of the family's 1533-position model. The record is from RNAcentral.